UGGGGGAUAUUGCACAAUGGGGGGAAACCCUGAUGCAGCGACGCCGCGUGAGUGAAGAAGUAUUUCGGUAUGUAAAGCUCUAUCAGCAGGAAAGAUAAUGACGGUACCUGACUAAGAAGCCCCGGCUAACUACGUGCCAGCAGCCGCGGUAAUACGUAGGGGGCAAGCGUUAUCCGGAUUUACUGGGUGUAAAGGGAGCGUAGACGGUAUUGCAAGUCUGAAGUGAAAGCCCGCAGCUCAACUGCGGGACUGCUUUGGAAACUGUGAGACUAGAGUGCAGGAGAGGUAAGUGGAAUUCCUAGUGUAGCGGUGAAAUGCGUAGAUAUUAGGAGGAACACCAGUGGCGAAGGCGGCUUACUGGACUGUAACUGACGUUGAGGCUCGAAAGCGUGGGGAGCAAGACGAGUAUAG
Molecule: ribosomal RNA, 411 nt
Filed under: uncultured Clostridium sp.
Lineage: Bacteria; Bacillati; Bacillota; Clostridia; Eubacteriales; Clostridiaceae
Description: bacterial SSU rRNA
Rfam family: Bacterial small subunit ribosomal RNA
Source: RNAcentral